This is a long non-coding RNA of Alosa sapidissima (American shad), 111 nucleotides long. RefSeq lists it as uncharacterized. NCBI's taxonomy places the organism in Eukaryota, Metazoa, Chordata, Actinopteri, Clupeiformes, Clupeidae. The transcript has 3 exons. The record is from RefSeq and is a predicted model, not a curated record.
GUGUAAGUGUAUAUAUACUCUCUUGAUCCCGUUGAGGGAAAUUUGGUCUCUGCAUUUAUCCCAAUCCGUGAAUUGGGGAAACACACUCAGCACACAUGAGGUGAAGCACAC